UUUUCUUUUUUUUUUUUCUGAAAAGGAAUUCUGGUUUAAGAAUCUCACUUAUGACACAAAAAAAGCUGAGAUCCGGCCAUAUGGGAAAAGAGUAAAAUGUGUCCAUAUUUAGCAGAGCUCUGACCUUAGGGUUUAUGUUUCCCUUUAUCAGCCGAUUUGGGGAGAAGAGCUGAAUGUAUAUUUGUGUAAUAAUUUACAGUUUUUAUAUGACAUGCACAGAGAAAUAAACUUGCAUGAAGAAGAAGAAGUAGAAGAAGAAGAAGAAGAAGAGGGUUUUCAUAAUAAAUAAAAGAAUAAUUGUGGGAAUUUCCAUGAAAAUAGAAGAGGGGUUCGGAGGGUUUUCAUAAAAUAAUUAUAUAUAAAAAAUAAAAAUAAUUGCGGGAAUUUCCAUGAAACUUUGAACAGUAAGAUAAGAAUUAGAAGGCGUAC
Molecule: long non-coding RNA, 429 nt
Filed under: Malus domestica (apple)
Lineage: Eukaryota; Viridiplantae; Streptophyta; Magnoliopsida; Rosales; Rosaceae
Description: long non-coding RNA (MDOM_LNC014588)
Source: RNAcentral